CAUCAGAACUCCGCAGUUAAGCGCGCUUGGGCUAGAGUAGUACUGGGAUGGGUGACCUCCCGGGAAGUCCUAGUGUUGCACCCU
RNAcentral lists this ribosomal RNA (84 nucleotides) under Brugia timori. Lineage: Eukaryota; Metazoa; Nematoda; Chromadorea; Rhabditida; Onchocercidae. The record is from RNAcentral.